AAAGACCUAACGUUAUUCUGCAUGCCCAAGCUCGGAGCGCAGCGUUAGGAACACCUGACACUAGGUGUCGGGACGCCAUUGGUUGCAUUGAGGCUGUCGGGACUCAGCAGACGAGAAAAGGAGCCCACGGAUUUUUCUUGUCACUCUCCGUCUCUUCGUCCUCUUAUCUGUAUAAAGACCCCAAAUCCCUCUUCCGUUCCGAUUGAAGAACAUAAGCAAAGAAUUCUUGGAAGUUGGAACCAUAGGCCCUGCCCCCUUAUUCAUCUGGGCUCCGUUUUGAUUUGAGUUCAGCGGCAGCCGGUAUUGAAUCUCUCCUGCCCCAUGCUCUUCUCCGUCUCCAUUCUAGCUAGGCGUUUGCAACGGCAGCCGGCGACUCUUAAGGCUAUUGAGCCACUGCCCUCUUCUUCUUCUUUUCCGUCUCCGUUCACAGAUGAUUACAUCGGCGGCCAGCGAGUCUCUGUCUUCUUUAUCAAGAGUUAGCGUUAAUUAUUCAAUUUCUUUGGCAUGAGUGGAUUCGGCAAUAUGGUCAAAAUCACUUAUCAACAACAAAAAUUUAUGCUAUCUGUACAAAAUUCUAGCUCUUACCUUUGUGGCUUGUGAUGGAAUACAACCUCUUUUCAGGAAACUGAGGUGUGCUUGUGUUUGUUUUCAUGUCAAUUCUUCCCAAAAAAUCAAACGUUGUCACAAUGCAGGGAGAUCGUAGUUACACUGUUAAUGAUGAAUCUGAUCGGAGCAAUGAGAAUCAUGAACUUGUUGCUGCUCCUGCGACCAAUAAAAUACAAAUGAUUUGUGGAGAUCGUAGUUACACUGCUAAUGAUGAAUCUGAUCGGAGCAAUGAAAGUAAUGAACUUGUUGCUGCUCCUGCGAUCAAUAAAACACAAAUGAUUUGUAUUUUUAUUUAUUAGAAUAUUAUUGUUUUAAUAAAUUUAAGUUUAAUUGAUUUUGUAGGAGGGAUGCCCUACAAUCUGAUCCCAUGAA
This is a long non-coding RNA of Macadamia integrifolia, 978 nucleotides long. RefSeq lists it as uncharacterized. The record is from RefSeq and is a predicted model, not a curated record. The transcript is spliced from 2 exons. NCBI's taxonomy places the organism in Eukaryota, Viridiplantae, Streptophyta, Magnoliopsida, Proteales, Proteaceae.